UACGAAGGGUGCAAGCGUUACUCGGAAUUACUGGGCGUAAAGCGUGCGUAGGUGGUGAGUUAAGUCUGUCGUGAAAGCCCCGGGCUCAACCUGAGAAUGGCGAUGGAUACUGGCUCGCUAGAGUGCGGUAGAGGAGAGUGGAAUUCCCGGUGUAGCAGUGAAAUGCGUAGAGAUCGGGAGGAACAUCAGUUGCGAAGGCGGCUCUCUGGACCAGCACUGACACUGAGGCACGAAAGCGUGGGGAGCAAACAGG
This 253-nucleotide ribosomal RNA is filed under the name uncultured bacterium. Its description in RNAcentral is "partial 16S ribosomal RNA". It matches the Rfam family "Bacterial small subunit ribosomal RNA", at positions 524 to 776 of the family's 1533-position model. The record is from RNAcentral.